This 683-nucleotide long non-coding RNA is filed under the name Sinocyclocheilus anshuiensis. RNAcentral's name for it is "lncRNA (ENSSANG00000052383.1)". Lineage: Eukaryota; Metazoa; Chordata; Actinopteri; Cypriniformes; Cyprinidae. The record is from RNAcentral.
UAAAGAUUCAUACGUUUAUGUAAUGCAUAACUCCCGCAGGUUGAGCUGAGUCCAGUCCACUCAUUCCUUACCCUGGAGGAUUCCACCCAGCCCUCCCCACGCAUCCCUCCAGACCUCCAGGAGGAGCAGAGAGGUGUCAUGAACAAAACCAGCCCAACAUCGUUUGAAAGGAGGUCUGUCAUCUCUGUGACAAUGAGCCAAUCCUCUCACAUAUCUGUGAGCAACAUGGCCCUGAUGUGCACUGAGCUAGAGGCCCCAAUACUAAACCGCUGGUGAAGGAUCAGAGCAGCUCAGAGGAAGAAGAGGAGGACAUAGUCACAGAGAACGGGAGAAGAAAGAGAAGUUACCAGAGAGGCCUAAAUAAAAGGGCCAAGGAAACAACAAUAUCCACUGAGGAAGUGGAGACACUGUCAUCUUGUACAAGGUCCAGCUGCAGGCAUGCCAGUGUGGAGGCAGACAUAGACCUGACCCAGCCUGCUCAGCAGGUGGGCUUUAUCUGCCAUCAGUUCAGCUCAGAGCUUAAGAGGAAGAUCAAGAAUCGAUGCAGGACAAUGGAUCUUUACACCAGGCAGACUUUGAAGACCUUAGGGCAGCACAUGUCAUCUGUCAGCGUCCAAGUGCACCAGUACAGGUCAGACAUGACCCUUGACCCUAAAGAGGUCAGAGUUUCUGCCCGGUAACAC